RNAcentral lists this ribosomal RNA (497 nucleotides) under uncultured bacterium. RNAcentral describes it as "partial 16S ribosomal RNA". It matches the Rfam family "Bacterial small subunit ribosomal RNA", at positions 28 to 507 of the family's 1533-position model. The record is from RNAcentral.
GAUGAACGCUGGCGGCGUGCCUAAUACAUGCAAGUCGAGCGAACAGAUGAGGAGCUUGCUCCUCUGACGUUAGCGGCGGACGGGUGAGUCACACGUGGAUAACCUACCUAUAAGACUGGGAUAACUUCGGGAAACCGGAGCUAAUACCGGAUAAUAUAUUGAACCGCAUGGUUCAGUAGUGAAAGACGGUUUUGCUGUCACUUAUAGAUGGAUCCGCGCCGCAUUAGCUAGUUGGUAAGGUAACGGCUUACCAAGGCAACUAUGCGUAGCCGACCUGAGAGGGUGAUCGGCCACACUGGAACUGAGACACGGUCCAGACUCCUACGGGAGGCAGCAGUAUGGAACCUUCCGCAAUGGGCGAAAGCCUGACGGAGCAACGCCGCGUGAGUGAUGAAGGUCUUCGGAUCGUAAAACUCUGUUAUUAGGGAAGAACAAAUGUGUAAGUAACUAUGCACGUCUUGACGGUACCUAAUCAGAAAGCCACGGCUAACUACGUG